Molecule: transfer RNA, 90 nt
Filed under: Candidatus Latescibacterota bacterium
Lineage: Bacteria; Pseudomonadati; Candidatus Latescibacterota
Also listed under: 1 other name
Description: tRNA-Ser
Rfam family: tRNA
About the family: Transfer RNA (tRNA) molecules are approximately 80 nucleotides in length. Their secondary structure includes four short double-helical elements and three loops (D, anti-codon, and T loops).
Source: RNAcentral
GGAGAGGUGCUAGAGCGGCCGAAUAGGCAUGACUGGAAAUCAUGUGUACCUUCACGGGUACCGAGGGUUCGAAUCCCUCCCUCUCCGCCA